AAGCGGUGGAGCAUGUGUUUAAUUCGAGGCUACACGGAAGAACCGUUUACCAGGGUUUGACGAUGCAAGUGGUAGGAAUCCGAAGGUGCCGACCCUUCGGGAGCUUGCACAGGUGCUGCAUGGCUGUCGUCAGCUCGUGUCGUGAGAUGUUCGGUUAAGUCCGCUAACGAGCGCAACCCUCGUCGUGUGUUAUACGUGUCACACGAUACUGCCGGUAUCAAGCCGGAGGAAGGUGGGGAUGAUGUCAAGUCAGCAUGGCCUUUAUAUCCUGGGCUACACACACGCUACAAUGGCAGAUACAAUAGGUUGCGAAACCGCGAGGUGGAGCCAAUCCUCAAAGUCUGUCUCAGUUCAGAUUGUAGGCUGCAACUCGCCUGCAUGAAGUUGGAGUUGCUAGUAAACGCAGGUCAGCUAUACUGCGUUGAAUACGUUCCCGGGGUUU
RNAcentral lists this ribosomal RNA (442 nucleotides) under uncultured Leptolinea sp. RNAcentral's name for it is "bacterial SSU rRNA". It matches the Rfam family "Bacterial small subunit ribosomal RNA", at positions 927 to 1382 of the family's 1533-position model. The record is from RNAcentral. Lineage: Bacteria; Bacillati; Chloroflexota; Anaerolineae; Anaerolineales; Anaerolineaceae.